AAAUUGUGGUGUGGACACUUGAGAAGCAGCUCAUUGAAAUGUUCCCAUGCUUCAAAGAAAAGAUUUCCAUCUUUAUGUUGAAAUGUUUGAAUCUCCCUUCUAAGUUG
Molecule: small nucleolar RNA, 107 nt
Organism: Corylus avellana
Lineage: Eukaryota; Viridiplantae; Streptophyta; Magnoliopsida; Fagales; Betulaceae
Source: RefSeq, a predicted model, not a curated record